Synchiropus splendidus (mandarinfish) is the source of this 73-nucleotide small nucleolar RNA. RefSeq annotates it as small nucleolar RNA SNORD2. The record is from RefSeq and is a predicted model, not a curated record. Lineage: Eukaryota; Metazoa; Chordata; Actinopteri; Syngnathiformes; Callionymidae. The transcript has a single exon.
GAGUGAAAUGAUGCUUAACCAUCUUUCGGGACUUACCCAACAAUGGUGAUGCUUUUUCCAUUACUGAUCACUC